Molecule: ribosomal RNA, 266 nt
Filed under: uncultured bacterium
Lineage: Bacteria
Description: partial 16S ribosomal RNA
Rfam family: Bacterial small subunit ribosomal RNA
Source: RNAcentral
GCGAGCGUUAAUCGGAAUUACUGGGCGUAAAGCGCAUGCAGGUGGUUUGUUAAGUCAGAUGUGAAAGACCCGGGGCGUCAACCUCGGAAUUGCAUUUGUAAACUAGGCAGACUAGAGUACUGUAGAGGGGGGUAGGAAUUUCAGGUGUAGCGGUGAAAUGCGUAGAGAUCUGAAGGAAUACCGGUGGCGAAGGCGGCCCCCUCGGACAGAUACUGACACUCAGAUGCGAAAGCGUGGGGAGCAAACAGGAUUAGAUACCCUGGUAG